GAGCGGCGAACGGGUGAGUAACACGUGAGUAACCUGCCCCUAGCUCUGGGAUAAGCCCGGGAAACUGGGUCUAAUACCGGACAUGCACCUCUCACCGCAUGGUGGGUGGUGGAAAGUUUUUCGGCUGGGGAUGGGCUCGCGGCCUAUCAGCUUGUUGGUGGGGUGAUGGCCUACCAAGGCGACGACGGGUAGCCGGCCUGAGAGGGCGACCGGCCACACUGGGACUGAGACACGGCCCAGACUCCUACGGGAGGCAGCAGUGGGGAAUAUUGCGCAAUGGGCGGAAGCCUGACGCAGCGACGCCGCGUGGGGGAUGAAGGCCUUCGGGUUGUAAACCUCUUUCACCACCGACGAAGCGAAAGUGACGGUAGGUGGGGAAGAAGCGCCGGCUAACUACGUGCCAGCAGCCGCGGUAAUACGUAGGGCGCAAGCGUUGUCCGNAAUUAUUGGGCGUAAAGAGCUCGUAGGCGGUCUGUUGCGUCUGCCGUGAAANCCCGAGGCUUANCCUCGGGCCUGCGGUGGAUACGGGCAGACUAGAGGUAGGUAGGGGAGAAUGGANUUCCC
RNAcentral lists this ribosomal RNA (564 nucleotides) under Actinomadura sp. 387H07. RNAcentral's name for it is "bacterial SSU rRNA". It matches the Rfam family "Bacterial small subunit ribosomal RNA", at positions 93 to 671 of the family's 1533-position model. The record is from RNAcentral. Lineage: Bacteria; Bacillati; Actinomycetota; Actinomycetes; Streptosporangiales; Thermomonosporaceae.